This 631-nucleotide ribosomal RNA is filed under the name Staphylococcus aureus. Its description in RNAcentral is "partial 23S ribosomal RNA". It matches the Rfam family "Bacterial large subunit ribosomal RNA", at positions 1603 to 2235 of the family's 2925-position model. The record is from RNAcentral. Lineage: Bacteria; Bacillati; Bacillota; Bacilli; Caryophanales; Staphylococcaceae.
CACUGCCGAGAAAAGCCUCUAGAUAGAAAAUAGGUGCCCGUACCGCAAACCGACACAGGUAGUCAAGAUGAGAAUUCUAAGGUGAGCGAGCGAACUCUCGUUAAGGAACUCGGCAAAAUGACCCCGUAACUUCGGGAGAAGGGGUGCUCUUUAGGGUUAACGCCCAGAAGAGCCGCAGUGAAUAGGCCCAAGCGACUGUUUAUCAAAAACACAGGUCUCUGCUAAACCGUAAGGUGAUGUAUAGGGGCUGACGCCUGCCCGGUGCUGGAAGGUUAAGAGGAGUGGUUAGCUUCUGCGAAGCUACGAAUCGAAGCCCCAGUAAACGGCGGCCGUAACUAUAACGGUCCUAAGGUAGCGAAAUUCCUUGUCGGGUAAGUUCCGACCCGCACGAAAGGCGUAACGAUUUGGGCACUGUCUCAACGAGAGACUCGGUGAAAUCAUAGUACCUGUGAAGAUGCAGGUUACCCGCGACAGGACGGAAAGACCCCGUGGAGCUUUACUGUAGCCUGAUAUUGAAAUUCGGCACAGCUUGUACAGGAUAGGUAGGAGCCUUUGAAACGUGAGCGCUAGCUUACGUGGAGGCGCUGGUGGGAUACUACCCUAGCUGUGUUGGCUUUCUAACCCGCACCAC